Molecule: ribosomal RNA, 301 nt
Filed under: uncultured bacterium
Lineage: Bacteria
Description: partial 16S ribosomal RNA
Rfam family: Bacterial small subunit ribosomal RNA
Source: RNAcentral
CAGUAGCCACGGUAAUACGGAGGGUGCAAGCGUUAAUCGGAAUUACUGGGCGUAAAGCGUGCGUAGGCGGUGAGUUAAGUCUGCUGUGAAAUCCCCGGGCUCAACCUGGGAAUGGCAGUGGAUACUGGCUCGCUAGAGUGUGUCAGAGGAUGGUGGAAUUCCCGGUGUAGCGGUGAAAUGCGUAGAGAUCGGGAGGAACAUCAGUGGCGAAGGCGGCCACCUGGGACAACACUGACGCUGAGGCACGAGAGCGUGGGGAGCAAACAGGAUUAGAUACCCCCGUAGUCCCUGUCUCUUAUAC